ACAAAGGGAGCAUAUUGUAGCUCCAUGAUGUGCAUUUUCGGAGAAUCCAACUGUAUACAGAAUGUUAGUGUUGAAGAAUGAAAAAUUACUGGCCUCUUGUAAGAACAUGAACUUUUUACCUCGGAGCCCACCCCCUCCCAUCUAGAAAACAUUUUUGAGAUAAAGGCUUCCUGGAACAACCUCAAAAUGAACCAGGCCGGUCUCAGGUUCUGGGGCCUUCCCAUGGAGACAGGUCCAUUUGGAUUGGUCAUAGUGACAGUAAGCUUCUCUGGAAAUCGCAUGUAAGAUGCCCUGUAUUGGUCUUGCUUGUGUUUGUCAUUUCUGUGGUACUGUGAUUCUAUAGUGGUUGCCUGAAAAACGGUUUCUGUGUGUGUCUUGUGUGUCUCUUUGUGUUCGGACUUGGACUGAUGACUGACGACUGUUUUUUAGUUAUGCCUUCUGAAAUAAGCCUAAAAAUCCUGUCAGAUCCCUAUGCUGACCACUUCCUUUCAGAUCAACAGCUGCCCUGCCUCCCACUCCAACUCCAGAGAGCAGCCAGCGGGUCACAGUGGUCCCGCCCAUGGACCUGGAGCCUAGGGAAAAAUGAGCUCGGAAAUCCGGAGCAAAUGAGGAGUGGUCCCUGAGAAGUCAGUGGCCCUGGAUGUUGUGGCUGCUGAAAAAAAAAAAAAAAGAAGAGGAGGCUGUUCGAGUAGCGGCCAAGAGCGCUGCAGGUUCCCAGGCAGCUUCUCAUUCCCCUGUCCC
Molecule: long non-coding RNA, 741 nt
Filed under: Mus musculus (house mouse)
Lineage: Eukaryota; Metazoa; Chordata; Mammalia; Rodentia; Muridae
Description: predicted gene, 20186
Source: RNAcentral